GAUGAACGCUGGCGGCGUGCCUAAUACAUGCAAGUCGAGCGAACGGACGAGAAGCUUGCUCCUCUGAUGUUAGCGGCGGACGGGCGAGUAACACGUGGAUAACCUACCUAUAAGACUGGGGUAACUUCGGGAAACCGGAGCUAAUACCGGCUAAUAUUUUGAACCGCAUGGUUCAAAAGUGAAUGACGGUCUUGCUGUCACUUAUAGAUGGAUCCGCGCUGCAUUAGCUAGUUGGUAAGGUAACGGCUUACCAAGGCAACGAUGCAUAGCCGACCUGAGAGGGUGAUCGGCCACACUGGAACUGAGACACGGUCCAGACUCCUACGGGAGGCAGCAGUAGGGAAUCUUCCGCAAUGGGCGAAAGCCUGACCGAGCAACGCCGCGUGAGUGAUGAAGGUCUUCGGAUCGUAAAACUCUGUUAUUAGGGAAGAACAUAUGUGUAAGUAACUGUGCACAUCUUGACGGUACCUAAUCAGAAAGCAACGGCUAACUACGUG
RNAcentral lists this ribosomal RNA (497 nucleotides) under uncultured bacterium. RNAcentral describes it as "partial 16S ribosomal RNA". It matches the Rfam family "Bacterial small subunit ribosomal RNA", at positions 28 to 507 of the family's 1533-position model. The record is from RNAcentral.